CCCUUAGAUGUCCGGGGCCGCACGCGCGCUACACUGAAGGAAUCAGCGUGGCUCUGUCCCUGGUCCGAAAGGAUUGGGAAACCCGUUGAAUCUCCUUCGUGAUAGGGAUUGGGGCUUGGAACUGUUCCCCAUGAACGAGGAAUUCCCAGUAAGCGCGAGUCAUAAGCUCGCGUUGAUUACGUCCCUGCCCUUUGUACACACCGCCCGUCGCUCCUACCGAUUGAAUGGUCCGGUGAAGCCUCCGGAUUGGCGCGCACCUCGGUGCCGCCGAGAAGUUGGCUAAACCUUACCAUUUAGAGGAAGGUGAAGUCGUAACA
RNAcentral lists this ribosomal RNA (317 nucleotides) under uncultured eukaryote. Its description in RNAcentral is "partial 18S ribosomal RNA". It matches the Rfam family "Eukaryotic small subunit ribosomal RNA", at positions 1470 to 1796 of the family's 1831-position model. The record is from RNAcentral.